AGCUACACAUUGAGCACAGAGCGAAUUAUUCUUUUGCCUUUUACUAAAGAAUACCAUGUGCUCACUGCAGAAAGUGGCAUAAGCCUAUUUUUGGAGGGCUCUUUCAUUAGAUAGGGU
This is a small nuclear RNA of Hibiscus syriacus, 117 nucleotides long. RefSeq annotates it as U5 spliceosomal RNA. The transcript has a single exon. Lineage: Eukaryota; Viridiplantae; Streptophyta; Magnoliopsida; Malvales; Malvaceae. The record is from RefSeq and is a predicted model, not a curated record.